GCCCUAAAGGUCAAGAGCACACAGCUUUCCAACUCUCAAGAACAAUUGGAAGCUCUUCGAUCCGAGAGGGAAGUCAUCAAGACGUGUGUUUCGGAUGUCCACGCCGCUCUAUCCAACAUCCUGGAAGCACACGACCCCAUCCUCAAUCACUCGGUGAGGCGUACCCUCGCUGAGAAACUCUCUCCGGCCAUGGAUCUCUUGAGUAAAAUUGAAGGCCUACCCAGUUUCGUGUCCAUUCCGAAACAAGGGGGAGAUGAGAAGAAAGGAUCGAAACCACCUCCUUCCUCCAAAGCUACUCACACAACCGAACCACCCCCAACUGGUCAUGCCUCGGGUUCGGGUGUGAAGAACAAGGGCAAAAACAUAGCUGAGGGAGGAGAUGAAGAUGAAGAUGAAGAUGAAGACAAGGAGACCAUUGCGGACAUGUUAAAAAGAAAGAACAGUCGCAAUGCUGAAGGCGAUGCCAGUCGUGUGGCGCGUGAGGCUGAAGAAGCCGAACGAAAGCAAAAAGAAGCCCACGAUCUCCUUGAGAGCCGAAAGUUGCUCUUCCCUGCCUGGACCAGGGAUCGUCUGAUAAAAGAGGCCAUAGAGACUCCAAGCAUACUAUGGCUCGAGCCGGUGAUAUCGUUCGACUGCAACAACACCAUCGAUUCGCAGUUCGAUAUGCCACUGACUCGAAAGGCGUUCAUCUUCCACGCCUUCUCCAACAUCUUUGAAGUCCCGCAUCCGAACGAUGAGCUUGACAGGGAGCUCAUUGACUUCUACCUGGAGGCCGCUCGCCCUCAAUACCUUACAUGGAGCGCCCAGAAGAUUGUCAAUGUUCGGGUGAUGAAGCCUUUUGCCGUGGGGAGAUUCACAAACGUCAAGUUCAAGCUUAUCCGAGGAUCUGCAAGAACUGCUCACAUGAUCUCUCUGGCGGAUCUGCCCAAUCUGAACCCUCAUGAUUGGAUAGUCUUGUACAACAUCUUGCUGACAAACGAAGCCGAAUAUGGUCCCAUCUUAGACCAUGUCAAAAGGAUGCUGGCAUGCUAUAUCAUGGAGGUGGCCCUAAUGGAUCAGGAGGUUGCCACAGUUUUUAAGAAGAAACCGAAAGUCAAACCUGUGGGAUCGGCCAGUGAUCUGAAUCAAAUGCAAAUGGGCAAGAUAGAUUCGAGGCGAAACUCUGUGAUGUUCACUAGAGCCGAAGGACAGAAAUGUCUCUUCGCUUUAGCUGACAAACAUCUUUACACCACAACUUGCUUGGAGCACGUCCUAUCAAUCGUCAAGCGGUGUAAAGACAAUUCGGCUGAUGAUAUCAAGUACUUCGAUGAUAUGAUCAAUUGGUACAUCCGGUUUAGACAGACCAUCCUUUCCAUAACCAAGUGUCUGUUUAGUACCGUGAAGAAGAAGGUACCAGCUUCAGCCGCCGGCCCAAGCAAGAAGUGAAGGUCUCGCUCCAAAUUGACGCAAAGGGGGAGAUUGUUGGGCUAUAAAUAGUUUUAAUUAUGUUGCGUCUUUUGGGCUCGUAGAUUAGCCUUGUAUUCUCCGGUUUGGGCCUGUCCAACCGAGAGCCUUUUAUGUAUAGUAUUUAAGUUAAUGCUUGCAUGCAUAUUAGGUUAAGANCAUGCAUAUUAGGUUAAGAUUCAAGAUUUCAGUUUUAGCAUUCCAGAGUUUUACGAUAUUGCUCUCUUGUAAUCUUCCAAUCCUUUACAGUUGAUGUUCUUAAUCGAGCUCUUCUAAGGAUUUUAUUUAAUCAUUCGACACGUUUGAUUCAAGCUGUUCGUUCUUAUUUUUGUGUUCUGCCUUGUUAUUAAUAUUGUGUUCUUGCUGUUUCAUAUUCAUAUACUUGUUCAAGAUCUAAUCGAUCUUCAUAGAUUAAAAGUUUGUUUUAAUCCCAUCAACAUGUUAUAAUGAUUAUAAACAUGUUACAACUAGACAACAAUACUUAUCGUUUUACCAUAUAAUAUUAUGAUUUUAUGUGACGAAUAGCAUGUCAUAAAUUUUAUAAGANGAAUAUAUCAAAACUUUAUUGACUUUUAUAGUAAAACUUUAUUCAUCGUACAACAUUUCGCCUAGUGACUUAUCCAUGUAUAAGUUAGGGUUAUUCACUUUCGAUCAUUACGCCCCGAAUAGGGCAUGUAUUAUUUGACUACAUUAGUUAGGGGCUUUUAUUGUGAGACACUAUUCAUUACCUAAGUUAAACACUUAGUAUACCCAUACCUCUAUAACCGUUAAUCCUUAGAGCGAGAUACAUAUGUAUAGAUCUAUAUGGGUUGACACCCCCACCUGCGGUUGCUAGCUACAACCUUUACGGAUCAAUCGAAGCGAGUGAUAAUUAUCUUUUGUCAUUUAUCCACGGCGUCCAAUGAAGCGGCGUAAGGGGGUUAUAUCUAGUCACAUAGCUCGGUUAUAGGACUCAUAAUAAACAUUAACUGGAUCAUUUAUCUAGAAACCAUAGAUUCAGUUUCUCUAUUUAUCAAACAUUUUGAGUAUAAAUUUACUUAUGAUUUCUCUCUUUAUCAAACAUUUUAAGUAUGGAUUUACUUAUAAUUUAUCUCUUUAUCAUACAUUUUAAGUAUGGAGUUACUUAUGAUUUAUCACUUUAUUAAUCAUCUUAGGUAUGGAUUUACUUAUGAUUUAUCUCUUUAUCAAACAUUUUAAGUAGGGAAUUAUUUAUUAUUUUUCGCUUGGUCAAACAUUUCAAGUAUGGACUUAUAAUUUAUCUCUUUAUCAAACAUGGUUUUAACUACAAGGGAAAUACUUUUCAGACUUUUUAAAAGUAUUAUUACCGCUAGACCUGGCAAUGGGGCGGGUUUGGAGCGAAUCAACCUUGAUCCAAACCCUAUUAAAAAAUUUCAAAAUCUGAUCCAAACCCGCUCCGUAACCCAUAGGGUUUUGAAUAAUCAAAUUCAUACCCUUAUCCACCGAAUCAACGAAUAUCCAAUCCCGCCCCGUAACCCAUAGGCUUUUUGAAUUAUUAAAAACAUUUUACUUAAUUCAAAAAUAAUAUUUCUUAAAUAAAACAAAUGUUGAUUUAGAAAACACAUUACGUACUCGAGGACUUCCGAUUGAAAUUAAAAAAUCACUAUUGUAGUAACUUUUGAUUUAUUUUUUACUGUCAAUUGUAGUGAUAAAAAAUAGCAAUGACAAAUUUUCUUUCAGUCGAUGAAUGAAUUUAUUGAUUUAUGAAUGAAACGAGGUUUUAUGGCCGCGCGUUGCGGCGGUACUUUAAGCAAUGAAGUUUAAGUUUCACACUGUUUAAUAAAAUUUAUUUAAAUUUUUUGAUGAAAAGUGUAUGAAUUAUGUAUUUUGGUAUGUUAAAUUUGUUAAAUGGUUAAGCAAAAAGAUAUAACACUUAUAAUAUAAAUAAAAGCUGAAUAAACAACUUUACAUAGUUGUAGACAUAUUUAGAAGGGACAUUGAUAUUCAACAUAUUUUAAGUAAUGGCAACAGUAGCAGUUCUUCAAAAGGGGCAAAAGUAGCAGUUCUUCAAAAGGUUUGAACAAAAUACACGGUAGUAACAACCCAUGAUGUAACAAAAUAUCGCAGUGACAACUGUCCCAAACGUUUUUACAUAGCACGCCAGCUCUCCAAAGUUUUUGUAGAAAAUAUGCCAGAGCCUCAAAAGUUAAUCAUAUUUCCUGUGACAUUGUUCAAAAAGCAUAAAUAAAUAUUGAAUAUAGGAAAUACUAAAUAAUUGAUAGACAAUCCAUGAUAUUACAUAUAUACCUUACUAAACUGCAUGACAUGGAGCACAACUACUUGUCUUUUCCUCAUGAACCAACACAGGUUUUGUUGUUCACGUUUGCUACAUCAACACAUUUUUUUGCUUCUUAACCGACUUACCAUCUGUUUGGUCAAGUGAAUCUGCAAAAAACCUUCAAUAUUAUUUUCCAAAUAAUAAAAAAAUGUUAUAUAUAUAUAUUCCUAAAAUAGAUUCUAGAAGAAACGAUUAGUAAGAUUUAUGUACCUUCAGAUGAUGUUUGGAAAAGUUGUUUCUGGACAGAUUUCAUUUGGUGAUGUUUAGUUUCAGCAGAAGCGGGUGUGAUGGGUGAUGUUGUGAGACGCUCUUUGUCACACCCCAAAACCAAGAACGGUGGAAACGUUCUGGGGCGGAGGACGUCAUGUACAGUAUCACAACAAUGAAAAGUAGUAAACAAGAAACAACAUCAUCCAUUGCAUUAAUAAUAUAAUUUUAAUACAAGUGUUCUGAAAAAUUAUGAUAAACACUAAAGUAUAAUCAAAAUGAAAGAUGAGUCUUGAACGAGCUCAUUCUCUAAACCUUGCAUCAGUACCUGUCUAUUGAUGACCUGAGGAUACAAGUAUUUUGAAAGCGAGUAUCAGCUUUAAAGCUGGUGAGAUCAUAAGUAUUUUAGUGUCUAAAUUUGUAUGUAAGAAAUUGUUUGUAUAUGAACUGUAAGUAUUAAAAAUUUAUAUCAACUAUAAGUAUAAAAAUGUUUGUAAAACAACUGUAAACGUUUGAAAAACCCUAGAAAUCCCUAUGAUUCCUACUAUUAUAUAAGGGUGUCUUCUACCAAGACCUAACUGUUCUAAAGGUAGUCUUCUACCAAGACUUAACUGUUCUAAAUGUUCGUUUAUUGUAAAAGUGUGUAAUUUUCCCAAGUGUAACUAUCAUUAACAAAAUAUAGUUUGUACAUUUAAUGUUUAAGUGAAAUGAUCACUAAAUAUAUGUAAAGGGGAAAUUAAUGUAGUAUUGUAGUGUUGUAUUAUAGGAACUACUGUUGUACUAACUACCUUAAACCGGAUUUACAUUAAGGUAUCAUGUGAUUAAUUGUACCAUACUAUCGACUAGGUAACAACGACAAAUGUAGGUCGUAAAAAGGUAUGACGUUUGGCACCCGCAGACCUGCAGGUCCGGCUGUAGCUAGCAGCAAGGUGUAGGAUAGUCAAUCCAGUAUAGAUCUAUACGCAAACUCACGCUCUCCCUCCAAGAGACUCUGGCUACAACUCGGGCCAUGACAUUGAAGGCAUGCUCCGAUACAGUGGAUCACAAUUUUGUUAACGUAUUCAUGUAUAUGUACUUAUGUAAGCGUAAUCAUGUAAAAGUAUAUGAACGUAUGCCUUUGCUACCCAAAGGUACUGAACUGACUGAAAGGAACUAUUAUGUCCAUAUAUGUAUACAUGAUAUAUAACUAAUGUUUAAACGACCUUCGGACGGGUACCCGAUAUCCCACCAGACCACAUCUCAAGCGCGAAAAGGAAAUAGGGUGGAUAGCCUUCCAAAGUCCUUUAAACAUUUCUUAUAUAACUAUACAUAUAUAGGCAUGCUUAUAACAGGAUCUUUAUGUAAACGUAUCAAUGUAAAUGUAAAGUAAUGUACUGUAAUGUUCUGCGUGUGCUAGCUGUAAUGUGUGUUCUUUCUCUAUCUAGCAAGUAUUGACUCAUGAAUGAACUGACUCAUUGUAUGAUAUCGCGUUCUAGUAAUGGUUCUAAUAUCUUCCUAAACUACCCAUAUGGUAGCUUACUAGUAAUGUAAUUGGUAUGUAUGAACAUGGAUGUAUACCCUUGCUACCCAAGGGCAUUGGCUGAACUGGAAGGACCUUUAUGACUAUAUAUGUACACAUGAUAUAUACAACUAUAUUUUUAACGACCUUCAGACGGGUACCCGAUAUCCCACCAGACCACAUCCAAAUCGAGGAAAAGGAAAUAGGGUGGAUAGCCUUCCUAAGUCUUUUAAACAUUCCUCAUAUAACUAUCCAUAUAUAGGCAUGCAAUUUAUAAUAUAAAAGCAUAAAGCAAGUUUUGUAAAACUUGUGAACAUAAUUAUUAUCUAAGAAAAGAUCGACUUGAUGUCAAUCUAUAAAACAGUUUGAAGGCAUGGGUUUGAUAAAACAGUUUAGUAUAAAGAAACAUUUGUUUAAAACACAAUUGUAAUAAGUUUGAAAUGUAACAUACAGAGUAAAAUGAAUAGUUUAAUAAGGAGUUUUAAACAUAUAAAACGUUUAUGAAAAACAUUUGAAGGAAAUUGUUUGGUAAAACGGCUAAUGAGUAGCAAAUCAUUUGAAUGUUGUUUAUUAAUCACAUGUGAUUGAUAUAAUAACUAGCAUGAUUCUACUUGUAUCCCCCCCCCCCCNAAACAUUUAAAAACAGUUAAAACAUUGAUUAAGGGGUAUGAACUCACCUGUUGUGGGUGAUACGGAUGAACUGAAGAGGUAGGACUGCUAGGUGUCAAGUGAAGUCUUGAACACACUUACGAUCCUAGUUAACAUAUAAUUUCACAUAUAUGUAACAAAUUAGUCUAUAAACAACUAAUAAACAAGUCAAGACACCCUAGGACAUGCUAGACACCUUUAUCAAGUGUUAUUAGCCUCUAGGAUUUCAUCUAAGUGUUUGUAGGGAAAUAUUUUGUGUGUAGGGCUCAAGGAAAACUCCAUAGGGGAGUUCACGACCCUAAAGACACUACUAAAUGAUUUUACGGUUGUAAACUCAUGAGUUUAUAGUCGUGAGCUCAUACUUAUGUGUCCAUUUGAUGUUUGAUGCUCUAUAAGGUCCUAAGAAGCAUUUCUACUUAAUGGCUUGGUCCUUGGAAGAGUUUAGGGCAUAAUAUAACUCCUUUUAGGAGUUUACGGCCCUAGGACCAUAUCCCUUGGAGAUUACGGCCAUAAUCUCCCUUGGGAGGAUUUUUUGGUGUUUUCAAGUCCCUAAAUUAACUAGGAACUAAACUAGGCUAUUAUACAAGGCUUUAGAAGAGUUUAUAGCACCAUUUGGCACUAUUGUAUGGAGUUCACGGCCCUAGAACUUCUUGGGCCGUGAACACCUUACUCUUGGUGUUCUAAGGGUGUUUUCUAGUCCUAAACUCAUUAGGGUACAUGUCUAAACUAGUCUCUUGGCUUAAGGAAGGCUUUUAGGGUGUUUUGGCACCUAAAAAUGGAGUUCACGACCCAAGAACAUCCUUGGCCGUGAACUCACUUUCAACCCUUGAUUCUUAAUGUUUUGGAUGUCUAAACAAGCUAUGGGUAGUCUCAAGGUUCAUUUCCAAGGUUUGGAGGGACAUUGGGCACACUUUGGCCCUUAAAGAAGAGUUUACACUCCAAGUGUUCUUGGGCGGUAAACUCUCAAAUCUUGGGGUUUUGAUCCGAUUUUGAUGUUAUUAAGCACAAUUUAAGCUAUAUAAUACAACUAGAUGGAAGUACUCACGAUUUGGGAUGAAAACCCGAAGAUCCGUGAGAGAGAAUUCGGCUUUUCUCUAGUUGGAAAUGUAACUAAUGAAUGAAUAUGGUUCAGAUUUCUAUAUAUAGUCCUGGGAUUUUUGGCAGAAAAUAUUUUAUUCUCGGAAUGAACUCUAAUAUCAUAGAGUUUUGGAAUAACAGUGUUGCACAAAACCCUAGUGCAUCCACUCUCCUGAUAUCUCCUUAAGUGCAAUUUCUGAAAUACUCAAACUUAUACCCAAAGUCUGGAAUUUCACUGUAAUUGUUCUACUUCUAUUGGCUGGAUAUGGUUUGUACAGAAUGGAAAUUUCGGGUUGUCACACUCUUGAAAGGCUUUUGUUGGAGUAACAGAAGCAGUAGAUGGAGGAUCAGUUGAUGUAGUGGGUGUUUUUUUUUAUGAUGCUGAGGCAGUUGGUUGGUUGAUAAUGUCUGUUUCUGUGUGACUUUCUUUUUCUGGAGAAACUAUAUCUUCAAAAACAGCAUCUGCUACAAAGUCUUUAGCACCCGGCCUACAGAAUCUUGCGAAUCGGAAUUGAAUUAUUUUUGGCUGGCCUAUGAGAAUGAUGAGCGGUGCAGGCAAUGUGUACGGAUCAAUGUAUCCAUGAUGAUCAAUGAGUGUGUUGCAAUCUGUUUGGAACAACAUUCUAGUUGCAGCAUCAAAAAAUACUAUCUUUGCUUGAGCGGUCUCAUCUGCGAUGUAUGCUGUGAUAAAAAACCUGUUGACACGAUUAUUAGACAUAUGUAUGUUAAGAUGAUUAUACUUAAGUAGUUGACAUAAAAAACAUAGUACUUACAAAUUGUUUGGUUUAGCAACUUGAUCAUGAUCUUCGCAUGCAAGUGUGUUUCCUCUUUUUGAAGUUNCUCAAGUAGUUGACAUAAAAAACAUAGUACUUACAAAUUGUUUGGUUUAGCAACUUGAUCAUGAUCUUCGCAUGCAAGUGUGUUUCCUCUUUUUUGAAGUUUUUUACGACAUUCAUGACAUGCUUUAUAAAACCAACCCUUGCUUGCAUCUAUGCUAACCAGAGAUGCUUUGCAAGUGAACUGAGCUCCCUGUAAUAUUAUAUAUAUUAAAUUUAAAACUAUAAAAUUUGUAUAUAUAUUUUAAGAUAAGAGAAGGUUUGAUGGCUUACUGCAUAACGAUUUGGGUUUUGAGAUAGCAAGUCUACCAAUGGAAACCUGUUUCUUUUCUUUUCGACUUCUACAUCUUUACUUUUUGGUAUUGUAUCUUGAGUACAGGGUUUUGAUUAUGUCGUUCGAGAAACCUAAAAGAGAAAAUGAACUAUAAGAUAUGUCACAAAGUUAUAUAAAUAUGAAUAAAGAACUUACUCAGCAGCCACUACAACAGCCUUGGGAAUAGUGGGGUUGAUGUAAAUAUAUGAGGCUGGAGUUGCGGUCAGUUGCAAAUUUCCUAUUAAAGAAACCAACAUAACAAUGCUGUUAAUUACAAAAUAAAAGAAAAAUAAGCAAAAAUAAUAAGGUUGGGGCAGUUUCUAUAAAUGUUGCUUAAUGCAAGAAAUGGGAAUGUACUUUAAUCUGACUUUCUAAUAUAGCAUAAUACUUUAAACUUUAUUUCUCUAUUUCUUUUUAAAUAAGUGUCUUUCAUUAUUAAGCAUUGUACUUUGAAAGCAAAAUGCUUCAAUACAAUAAAAUGAGAAAAAUGUACCUAGACAGUGUGUGACCUUCAUUGAAGUAAUAGCAACAAUAACAGGAGAAGGCAAUGUUUCGAUAGCUUCUUUAUCAAAUAAGUUAGCCGCCUCAUCCAAGAAAGUUGUCUCAAUCAUUGUUCCAUUAAACAUACAUAUUUCAGAUAUUAAAUAUGAUAUGUUGUGGUCUUUGUUAGAUAUAUGAGAUAGAAAAUACCUCAAAUUUUCUAGUUUGAGUUUCAAAAUUGCAUUUCCUUGAGUUCUGANNAUAUAUAUAUAUAUAUAUAUAUAUAUAUAUAUAUGUGUGUGUGUGUGUGUGUGUGUGUGUAAGUAUUACAUACAUGUGAGUGUCUUAUGGUUAUCAAGCCUUGCACCUAAUUAACCAUAUGCAAGAAAAUUGAAGUAGUACACAGGAAAUCCAUCAUCACGUAUUUCUUCAAAUUUUGCUGCCCUGCCUAGCUUGAUUUUGGUUUUGUGUGGAACAGUAACAAAGAAAGUAUUUGCAUUGUCACACAUGUAGUUGCUUACAGAGUAACAACCAUCCAUCCUGAUUAUCGAAUCAAAGUAGCCUUUAUCUCCCAGGAAACCACAUGCUUCUAUUGCAUCUCCCUGCCAAAAAUGAAUGGUUUUAUAUGUAUAUGUAUAAGUAUCUAACAUAGAAUUGAUUAUAAUUGACAAUUUCAUGUAAUAUUAUGGUGAAUGCACUCACACUUUUAUCAAGGAAUAUGUAGCAACAUUCAACUUUUUUCCCAUAUGAUAACAAUUUCCAAAUGACUUUUAUUUCUAUUGGCUUGUCUCCAUCACCAGGGUUUAAGUUUGCUACCAUACUUGUAUCCAUUUUUGUAGAAUCUGUGAAGUUCAAAUUAAAAUGAAAAAUCAACAAUUAAUUUUUUCCCCAUAAAAGAUUGGAAUUUUUUCUAUUACAGGGAUCCUUUCUGUAAGUUUAUUAUUACAGGUACUCUUUUAUACACAAAUGAUGUUGAAUAAUUAAUGACUAAAAGUUCACUAUUAGAUGGAACCUUUCUGUAACUUUACUACUACACAUGAACUAUUUAUGUAACUUUGUUUCAGAUUAUUUGUAUAAUUCAGUUAAAAUAUAAAUGCAGAAAAAUGCAAGAAAUUUUAAACUAAAUUUUAAAAAAUAAGCAACAAUUGACAACAUACUUUUAAACUUUGGACUGUAAAAUCAUGUUACCUGGAUAGUGUUUAAAAGUUGGUUUAAAAUUUCUUGCAGUUCCAAAAAUAAGCAUUAAAAAAUCGGUUUAAGCUUUUAAAAGUUUUCUUUAUAAGUACCUAUACGUAUAAAAAGACAAUGUUUAUGUAGUUGUGGAUAUAUAUUUCAUUAUCACAUUAGAAUUAAUAAUUCAGAGACUUAGACCCUAAAAAAAAUUAAAAAAAACUUGUAGACUAAUAUAUUGAUAUGAUAAUUAGGCAUGAAUAUAUUGGAAAGAUAGAUUCAACAAAAUUAAUUAACGAAGAGAACUAACCUGGAAGACAGGAAGCCGAUAUGUGGAAAAAGUGAAAUCGCAUGAAGUGUUUUAUCUGGUAAUAAGGAGUGGCUGGUGGAAAAAUCACGAAAUCUAUGAAUGAGAUCGAAGCGAACCGUACCUAGAAGAUUGCGUGAGGAAAAGAGGGGUAAGGCUGACUGGUUCUAUCGUACCUGGAAGGUUGCAUUAGGGAAAGAGGAAACAGUGAGGGAAGCUUGGGCAUUGUACUGGGCCUGAUGCUAUAUGCGAGAACCUUUUUUUUAUAAAUUGAAUUUUUGAUUUUAGGGAUAAUAAAUUGAAUUUUUGAUUUUAGGGAUAAGGCUUGAACGUAAUUUAGUUGUUUUUUCAUCUAAUUUAUAUUUUUAAAUUUUCUGUUAUCUAAUUUAAGUUAUAAGGUUUAUCAUUUAGUUAUUAAUUUUUUGUAAUAAGGUUUAAAAUAGAAGAUAGAAAAAAAAAUGUGAUUAAGAUUUCUUUUAUUUUUUGUAUAGUUAUCAAGCCUAAAGUCUUCAUAGCCUGAUAAAUCUUUUAUCAGAACAGAAGAAAACAUAGACCCCUGCUCUAUUAUCAUAACAACUUUAAAAAACAUGAUUUAUAGAAGAAACCAAUUUUUUUUUCCUUUUUUGGUCCCUAUUUAACUGUUUUAUAAUAUUUUUUGGUCUAUUUACCCCUUUCAUGUGCCUUACACAGGUAUUUUUUAUUAUAAAGAAGGAAAAGACCAAAGAGCCCAUGUGUGCAGGUGCGAGCCACGUCAAUGAGGUGAAUUAAAUCGAACAGUAAAAAGGGAAAGCGACCAUUUUUUGGACCAAAACCAAAAAAGACUCAAAAGGCAAAAAAGAAAAGUAAAUGACACAAAUCGGUUACCUGAUUUUGAUAAUUCUGACUUGUGUUCUUGUAGUACAUUAAAAGUAGAACACCAAAAAAGCAAAAACUGCCAAGAAAAAAUAAAAAAAAAAAAGUUCUCUUGGUUGUAUAAACCUGUGGAAGAGUGCAACAUCAUUAACACUAAAAAAACCAAAAAAGCAAUAAGAGGGGUUUAUAAGUCUGUCCAUUUAUUUUCCUUUUACUUAUAUAAUUUCAAAACAUAACUCAUUAAGAUAUUUUAGUUACAUUUUUUCUCUAUUACUUAUAUUAUACAAAAUCAUGUAACAUAAUUACCUUGCAACUGUUUGAUUCCUUCCACCUCUACCUUCAAACAUCAAUAUUACCAACAUCAUCGGUGCUACUGCUGUGGAAGGUGAUUUUUUUUUAAGUCAAUGAAGAAGAAGCUCCAUAUCUACAGCCUAAAAUAGGAAGGACUUCAAAUAAGGAAAUUUUUUCCCAAAAAAUGAAAAUUCGGUUACAUGUUAUUUUUGAGUGAAGUAACUCUAAUACUAAGUACCAAACAACGGUCAUUACGUAAAUUUUUUCAUUAAGUUUUUACAUUUUAAGCAAUAAAUCACAAAAGUGUUUAACUACCAACCUGUGCAGAUUCUAAUUUUGCUAAAAAAUUUGAGAAGACAAUAUUUUUUGUACAAUUAGAUGGCUGGUCCUCUUGUCUUUUAAUCAGUAUUUUGAGACCAGCUGCUGAUGUAGCCCUAGAUAGUGCAACGUACAAUUGCCCGUGACUGAAAAUUGGAUGAGGAAGAUAAAUUCCUAUCUUGUUUAAAGACUGGCCUUGGCUCUUGUUUAUCGUCAUGGCAUAACAAACUCUAACUGGGAAUUGCUUUCUUUUGAAAACGAAUGGUAAUUCUUUAUCAGUAUGAUUUAAAGUGAUUCGAGGUAUAUAAACUUUGUGGCCUAUCUGAACUCCAGUGAUGACUUCUGCCUGAAUAAGUCUUGGUAGAAGCUGUGUGAUAAUCAUCCUAGUUCCAUUGCAGAGCCCUUCCAUCUGAUUCAUGUUGCGGAGUAACAUGAUUGGAAUACCAACUUUUAGUUGAAGACGGUGAGUAGGGAAACCACUGAAGUUAAGCAGGUUCAAAUAUUCAGACGGAUAAAGAACCUUUGUAUCCCCUCUAUCAUUCGUAUGUGGAAUAAUUGAGUCGAAACUUAGAUAAAUAAUAGGUUUCCCUGGCAGAUUACACAAUAUGAGGUUGUUAAUUUCAUCUGCAGUUUCGUUUUUAGGGUAAACAAUGGCUUUGUCACAGAACAUGGUUGCUGUUGGAUUAUGAAAAAUGUCUUCGUCAUAUAUAAAGCGAACUAAAUCCUUAAGAGCAUCUUCAUGAUCUGGUAUGAGAUAUUUUUCUAGUAUCUCUACCCAUUUGGUGUCAGUAGGAUCAUCUUCAUCAUCUACACCAACACGUCCAUCUCCUAUCUGCAACAACCAUGAUGAAAAAGCAGCAAUUUCUUCUUUUUCUUUGGUACUUAGAUUAGGUUGAAGAAGCCUCAUAUUUUUUGAUAAUUUACAUACUUUGAAAUGGCUCCAUACUGACGAUUCAACUAUAGAUGACUCUAUGAUGUCUCUCUUGCUCGCUUUAGGUUUUACAGGUAAAGUUUGUCUGAAAUCCCCACCCAGCAGCACUGAUUUUCCACCAAAAGACUGCGUUGGCUCAUUAAGUAUAUCUUUAAGUGUCUUAUCUAAUGCCUCAAAGCAUCUUCGAUCUAUCAUUGGUGCCGCGUCCCAAAUAAUCAGUGCAGUUUCACUAAGCAAACGAGCAAGUUGUGUGUUUUUACUUAUGCUACAGAUGGAGUUAUUUGUAAGGUCCAAUGGAAUCUUGAAUCAAGAAUGUGUUGUUCUUCCCGAGGGCAGCAAAAGAGAUGCAAUACCAGAAGAUGCAACUGCUAAAACAAUUCUCCCACCAGACCUGAGCGCAGAAAUGAUUGUGGUCCAAAGGAAUGUUUUACCGGUACCACCAUGUCCAUAAACAAACAUAAGCAGUUGAUGGUUUUUCAAAGAAGCUUUCAUAAUAGUCUCAUAAAUAAUAUGUUGCUUGGAAUUAAGCGCAGACACCAUAACUUCCUUUUUUUGGCUCAUAGAAACUCUAUCAUAAUUUCUCUCUUCCAUGAACAAUUUAUUUUUUAAUUCUGCAAGCAAGUGUGGUGGAGGCAUAGGCAAACCAUAAUCACAAAGCAAGGAAUAACUGUUAUUAGAAUUUAGCAAGAUCUCUAACUCAUAUACGACAUACUGUUGCAAGUCAACUUCAUUAACAUGUAAGUUCACAACAUGUGAAUCUGCAGCUGCUCUUUGGACUAUAUCAUCACUCAUUCGCCACCAUUGUUUUGUCCAUAGAGCAAGAGAAUCUGCAACAUCACAAAAUAUAAGCAUGUGAGCAAACAGGGAUCUGAGUUCUUCAGCAGUUGCCCAGCUAGAAGCGUCAUCGAAUGCAUAUGUCCAUUCUUUGUCAUCACCAAGCAGCCCCAAUUGUUCACAUGCAACACGAUAGGUUGGAAAUAUGACAUCGCCUACUGUCUUGAUAUCAUUAAAUGUCUGACAUCCAACCUGGUGACUGAGAAGUCCUUAGAUAAAAGAGCUCACCCCAUGUUGGAUGAAUAUAGAUUAAUCUUCCAAUAGGAGGCGUCUUUUUUGACUUUCUACGACACCAGUCCUUCCCUCGAGCAAUCCAUUUAUAUUUUGAUAGAUAAUCAAGAUAAGUAAGAUGAUGACCACUGUCAUCAAUCUGAUUGUUUUUUAGCCAUUGUGUAAGAGUUGUUUUCUUUAUCAUUGGAUCAUCAACAACAUCUUGUAACAGUUGUUUGUCCUUAAACGUAAUUGUUUGCAUGUUUUCCAAAUGAACUGCAAGCACUUGCACGGCAGGAUUUCGAUGAUGGAUGUGAAAGUUGAAUAUCCUCCAAGCUGCCUCAUGAGGGCAAAUGAAUCUAGCAUCUACAAAGUUUUGUAUCUCAUUGAUGUUGCUCGUUUUUUUUAUCAACUUUAUCAGAAGGAUCGCCUAGAGAUUUAGUAAUUUUGGCUCUAAUACGGUCAGCUCCUUUGGAAAUGUAUUUGAAUAAGUAUUUAAUCAUCAUACUCCAACCACAAUAUUCAACAUUGAUAUGAGCUUGAAAAACCAAAGAAAGAUUUUUGUUGUAUGGGACAACAUAUCCAUUAUCUAGGUUGAUUCCAUAUUUCACUGCAAAGCACCCAUCAUUUCUUCUCUUAUAAUGAACAUACCCAUCCUUAUCAAACCGUGUGACAUCUUCAUAUUUUUUGGAAAAUGCUUUGAACAGACCCCAUCAAACAUGCAUGGUGCUUUCAUCUUUGCAAGACCGCAUGGUCCAUGCAUCAUAAGCUCGGUGACAAUCUUGUAGAGUUGAGGAUCAACGACUGGAUCAGGGAUUUCAGCAGAAAUAAACUGAUCAAGAUGUUCUGGGGUAUGAAUUUUAUAUGAAGGUGACACCCACAGGAGAGUAUGGCAAUGGGGCAGGCCUCUUUUUUGGAAUUAUAUAGUAUACAGCUCUGCAUGCAUAAGAAAAAAAACAUAAGCUAAGGAUAUAAUAUUUUGAGACAAUAUAUUGUAAUGGAUGAACAAUAUGCCAGUUAAUAAUGACAUUACCUGCUACAACUUGUCCGAAAGGUUUUUCAUUUUUCAAAUAGUGAAUAAAAUCCUUAACCUUCAUCUCGAAUAUUCUAGCAAUAAUAUCAGCCCUGACCUUAGCCUUCAUUCCAGGAUAUUGUGCUAGAUAUCUUGAAAUCUCUGGCCAUUUAACAUUGCAAGUGUAUGUUAUAAAAUAUUGAGGAUUUCCAUGUACUCUACAUAUAGCAAGGGCAUCCUGAUAAUGCUUGUACAUAUAUCUAGAACCGCCAGUAAAAGACGCGGGAAAUAUUGUCCUUUUCCCGACUUCAUGGCCAUCAGAAUCACCUUUCAAUAACGCAUCAUGAACGCCCUGAAGGUACUCGGUCCUAAAAACAUCUUGCAUUGAUUCAAUGUAAUCCAAUCUAUUUUGCUCAAUAGAUAUAUAUGCAUUAACUAAAAACUGUUGGAACAGCCUGCCUCCUCUAGGUAACAAUGCAUAUAUGUUGAACCGAUCAUGUAGUUGAAAGCUGUAAAACAUAUUCAUCGUCAGUUGCUUAUCACCUAUACAUCCAUCAUUUACUUGCUUAAGCUCGAUCGACCAACCAUGCUCACCAAAAACAAACAGUAACGGGAACUGCAAUGCCAUAUACAAAGGAUGCAACUUAUUUAUUCUUCGAGGCCGCCCAUCUCACAUGCGGAUUAUUAUGUCAAAAUCAUUUUUAC
RNAcentral lists this long non-coding RNA (15428 nucleotides) under Lactuca sativa (garden lettuce). RNAcentral's name for it is "long non-coding RNA (LSAT_LNC002518)". Lineage: Eukaryota; Viridiplantae; Streptophyta; Magnoliopsida; Asterales; Asteraceae. The record is from RNAcentral.